Triticum urartu is the source of this 3239-nucleotide non-coding RNA. Lineage: Eukaryota; Viridiplantae; Streptophyta; Magnoliopsida; Poales; Poaceae. The record is from RefSeq and is a predicted model, not a curated record.
ACGGCGAAUAGAAGCCACAUUGAGAAGUGCGCGAAGAGUGAUCAUGUGGGCCAUAUAGGAGCAAAUGUCUCAUCAUAGUCAUGACCAUGUUCUCACCACUAGACAAGCUUUGUAAUGCUCAAGAGAAUCACCAGUCUUAACCUUGUAGACCCACUUACGAGUGAUGAGACGAGCACGAGGACGGAAAUGAGUUCCACGUGCCGAUGCGUGCAAGAGCAUCAAUCUUCAAUGCCAUCACAUGCAGCCAUUCUGGAUGAACAACUCUCAUGAUAAGUCGUCCCGGGAAGAGCCGCACAGUGACCAUAGCGGUCAAUAGGCUGAAGCGGGCGAGCUCGGAAGCCAUAAGUAGGCUGAGUUGGAGCCGGUGCCUUGCCAAUAAAAGAAAACAUAGUAGUCAAGUGAGAUUGCUCAUCAGAAGAAUCCACAACACGCGGACCACGAGACAUAGUAAAUGAGAAAACCAUCAGAGGUAGACCUCUAUCACAAGAAAGUCGAGAAGAGGGCCCAGGUUAGACAUAAGAAACUGCUCACUAAGACGUACCUUCACAAAGGCAAUAUACUCGGGGUCGUCGCCAUUGAUGAUCAUGUCAUCAACAUAUAGAAAAGGAGAGUCCGACCACGAUCAGAAAAAUAUAUCCAUCAGAGGUAGAAAAGACCUUUGUCCUAAGAAAGUAUUGAAAAGGGCCAAGAUCAGACAUCAGAAACUGCUCACUAAGACGUGCCUUCACAAAGGUGUCACCAUUCAUGAUCAUGUCACCAACAUUCUAACCUAUAAUGAGGCUCGCCAACUCGGCCUCCUGGUGCUCCCCCAGAUUGAAGCUUUGUUGGCCAUUUGAUAGAGCUGCUUUUGGUCAAUUGGUUCAUUACGGCCAUCAGAUUUGUUCUGCCAGUUUUCACCGCACGGUUAGUUUUCAGUAUUAUGACCGGUGGGCUCGUUCUUUCUCCUUAUUGGCUGGGUGAGCCCUUCGUGGGUGUGAGCAACCUUGUCCUCGCACGCCACGUGUCGUGCGGCUCGUCGUGGGCGUCUCCGCUGCUACAUGCAAACCCCAUUUGAACCCUAGCCUCCCAUCACAACCACCACAUCUGUCCCUCCACCCCUCGUCCGUCGUCGUCCAUCUCCACCUCCUAUCCCGGCUCCUCUUGUACCUCUCAUUUUCCUCCUUACCUCCCCAUUGCUUGCCCCCUUUCCCUGGGCGACAGGGUCUUAACGGCGGGGGUGGAGUAGGGAGGGUCAUUAGGCUAGCGGCGGAGGGAUGAAGCAGUGAGGCCCGAGCUCUAGGCGGUGCACACAUUGCGGACUCUAGACUCUUGUGUUGUUGAUUGGGUUUUGGUGCUCUAUGCUUACAAACUUUUGGGAUUUUGUCAAUGCCAAGGUAUGUGAUUGGUUUCUCCACUUCCACCCUAUGAUUUGCAAUUUCCCCAUAUGAUGCAUUGAUACCAUUUCAUUGUGUGAUUUUUCUGCUGAAAAUAGUCAUCGGGUUUUCAAGUGUAGGCAUCAUGAGCCCAGUUAGUGUUCCUGGUUUAUGAAUUUAAGAAUACGUUCUCAUCUCCCUGCUAUCUAUAUUCCAUUGUUUUAGAUUUAAAAGUGCUUUAGAUGAAUUUUUUUGAGGCAAACUUUCCAUUUCAGGCAUCAUUUCUAAGUAUAUGGCAUCCACGAAUUUCCCGAUAGUUUGUUCUGCACCAUGCUGCCUCAUGUAGGAUUUUGGCGCUCGUGAUUUACCUUAGGCAAUGUGUGAUGCCAUUUGCAACCUUCUUGUUGAGCAAGCUGAAACAGGAGUAACUCCAUUAAUCAUUCUGUAGGCAGUGUUAUGGUAGCUGCAGGAGUGGGCGGUACUCAGCUGCCGACAGGCGCUGAUGACAGUGGCCGAGCUAGACUCCGUCAGGGACAGGGCGUGCAUGUAUGUCGAGGUGCUCCAGGGCAGCAUGUGGGGCAGUUGUCUCUGGUCUCAUUUGAGUUUUGCUUCUGAGCUAUUAUCGAUUUCCCAUUUCUUUUGUCUGCACUAGAAGAUUGACCAUGUUGGAGGCUGUUAAGGCGCAGGAUUCAUCUCACCAAUCGAUUUCCCAUUUCUGAGUCGUUAGAUUGUCCGAUGACCAAACCAGUUGCCGAGCAAACAUUGUCGCCGAUGCAGGAGCUGAACGCCGAAGGGUAGAUCUGUGAGGCGCAGGGGGCAGCGGUUGCGGAGGGAGGAGGUUUACCAUGGGCAUCCAAGUAGUCGAUUGGUGAGAUGAAUCCUGAACCCCCUGGCUGGACCAAAGGUAUGGCAGUAUGUAGUUGUACGACUCUUGAAUUUUAAUCAUGGUAGUCUGAAGGAUACCUACCACACAAGCUGUACAUGGAGGUAGCAUGACUUCUUAGUAAGAACUGGGUCUGCUACAAGAUUAUAUGAUUAUAUCAGGAACUUAGAUACUGAAAGGGUUAAGCAAUUUGGUUGUGAUAGCAUUUUCCAAGCAUGAACACUUCAGCCACUUCUUGACAGUACUGAAUAAACAUGUGCGAAUUUCAAUGCUUGUGUUACCUUGAAAACAAGUCUUACUGCAUAGGUAAGAAAAUAUAAUCAGAGUGCAAAUUUGAAUGCCUGUGUUACCUUGGAAACAAAUGCUAAAACAUAGUUAAGAAAAUACAAUCAGAGUGCGAAUUUGAAUGCUUGUUUUACCUUGAAGAAUGCUACAGCAUAGUUACUUAACUGAUACAGAGUGAGGAUUAAGUAAUUUGCAUUAUGUGAGGAUUAAGUGCUACCACCAGAAAAUCCAAUCUAAAAGUCCAGUGAUGCAGGUCGGGAUGGAAAGCAAGAUCAUGAAGUGUAACUAGCCCUAGGUAGUAGGUGGACUGUAAAUAAUUGUAAGUCGAAGUUGUGCGACAAAACCACAAGAGGCUUAUUUAGGAUUGAUACAAGUGAAACUGGAACAGCCUCUGGAUCUAAGGGCUAUUCCGUGGCCUGGAGGUGCUUGGGGGUCGACGGGUUGUCGAUGGUGCGGCGCCGUUGCCGCAGCAGUAGUAGAAGAUAGCAGGGAUUAGAGAUAGAGAACAAAUAUUAGGGAAACUAGACUUUGUUGAUUAUUGCUUGCGUCUAUGCUUACACAGGUAGGUCCUUUAUAAAGGACAUGGACUACUACUUUGACAUACUUUGGACUCUAAUAGGAAUCUGACUCAAAUACUACCUUAAUAGAAUCUGGAGACUACCAAAAUAGAUGCAUCCUUUUAGGACAUCGAACUGCCCUUGUCUAGCCACAGCCUAACC